Molecule: ribosomal RNA, 253 nt
Filed under: uncultured bacterium
Lineage: Bacteria
Description: partial 16S ribosomal RNA
Rfam family: Bacterial small subunit ribosomal RNA
Source: RNAcentral
UACGAGGGGUCCUAGCGUUGUUCGGAAUCAUUGGGCGUAAAGAGCAUGUAGGCGGCUUUUCAAGUCAGAUGUGAAAGCCCACGGCUUAACCGUGGAAAUGCAUUUGAAACUGCUAAGCUUGAGUGCGAAAGAGGAUGGUAGAAUUCCAGGUGUAGUGGUGAAAUACGUAGAUAUCUGGAGGAAUACCGGAGGCGAAGGCGGCCAUCUGGUUCGCUACUGACGCUGAGAUACGAAAGCGUGGGGAUCAAACAGG